This 67-nucleotide small RNA is filed under the name Arabidopsis thaliana (thale cress). RNAcentral's name for it is "ATSL216510". Lineage: Eukaryota; Viridiplantae; Streptophyta; Magnoliopsida; Brassicales; Brassicaceae. The record is from RNAcentral.
AAAUAAUUGCAAAACACUUUGUUUAGGAAAUAAACCUGCAACAAAUCCAGAGAAGAAGAAGUUGACC